Molecule: long non-coding RNA, 1074 nt
Organism: Hevea brasiliensis (rubber tree)
Lineage: Eukaryota; Viridiplantae; Streptophyta; Magnoliopsida; Malpighiales; Euphorbiaceae
Exons: 2
Source: RefSeq, a predicted model, not a curated record
AUAUGAGGUUGAUUUUGAUGGCAAUUUUAUUUUAGAUCAGUAAAUUGCCAGAAUUAUCUUGUCCUUCAUGUAGUGUUCUUAUAAACUAUGUUAACUAAAAAACAUGAAUUUAGCUUGUUUUAAUGUUUGAUCUCUCUGCUGACACUUCAUUGAAUAUUGAAUAUUCAAGUUUUGUGCUUAUCUUUCACUGUUGAUGAUAAAGUUUCUUGAUAGAGUUAGGAAAUAUUUAAUUGUGAAAAUGUUGAAUGUAAAAGAACAGAAAUUUCAAUCACAAUGGCAGAAGCCUUUUUACAAUCAGUAUCUCAUGGCUACAAAUUGUAUCUUUCUUCCUCUUUACCCUUGAAAUGGCAAUAACAACAAUGUUGCCAUCUGAAUGUUGCUCAAUCAAUGAUUUCCUUCCAGAGAUUCAUAGAUUAUGUUGGAGAACUUCUGUAGGCUUAUGUUGAUAGGCGGGAACAGGUAAGGUGUUAGCGUGUAUUUUAAUAGUCCAAGCCAUGCGUUAUUAGUAUUUGGUUGUUGCUAUUUGAGCUGCUCUUGCAGAAAAAAUAUGAUCCUUGUUUACAAAACACAACAUUGUCUUAUGAAAAUCCAAGCCUCUUGACAAGUUCUUGAUGAUCAACUAAUUGAUUGGGUAAAUGCUUUAAUUUACUAUAUCUUACUUUGUUUUCCUAUUAUUCUGUAGGUAUGGCUUAUUAAGGAGUUGUAUGGAAACCAAAUUGGAGAGCUGUAUCACAGCCUUCCCUACCAUAUGAUAGAAUUCAUACCGUACGAUUUUGAUUGGUACUUUGACUAAGAUUUUUGGAGUCCAGAUCUGCAGAAGUGUCUGACGUAUUCAAGGUUGUCACCUCCUCAGCAAUGCAUGUAGAUAGGGCCCAUAUAGAUCAUAUUUUAUAUUUUGUAUAAAAUGCUUAGAUAUUGUAUUUUAAUGUAUAUUAUGAACAGGUAAUUAAUAGAAAUGCGAUGUAAAUUAAUUAAUUAGCUUUUUCCUAUGUAAUUAAUUUAUAUAUCAUGUAAAUUAUGAAAUCAUGUAAAUUAAAGAAAUUUGAAAAUUUUACUUAUGUGAUUAAGCAUGAA